CCUACGGGUGGCAGCAGUGGGGAAUAUUGCACAAUGGGGGAGACCCUGAUGCAGCGACGCCGCGUGAGUGAAGAAGUAUUUCGGUAUGUAAAGCUCUAUCAGCAGGGAAGAAAAUGACGGUACCUGACUAAGAAGCCCCGGCUAACUACGUGCCAGCAGCCGCGGUAAUACGUAGGGGGCAAGCGUUAUCCGGAUGUACUGGGUGUAAAGGGAGCGUAGACGGCGGAACAAGUCAGAAGUGAAAACUCGGGGCUCAACCCUAGGAGUGCUAUUGAAACUGUUUGGCUGGAGUGCAGGAGAGGUAAGCGGAAUUCGUAGUGUAGCGGUGAAAUGCGUAGAUAUUAGGAGGAACUCCAGUGGCGAAGGCGGCUUACUGGACUGUAACUGACGUUGAGGCUCGAAAGCGUGGGGAGCAAACAGGAUUAGAUACCCCAGUAGUC
RNAcentral lists this ribosomal RNA (440 nucleotides) under uncultured bacterium. RNAcentral describes it as "partial 16S ribosomal RNA". It matches the Rfam family "Bacterial small subunit ribosomal RNA", at positions 338 to 795 of the family's 1533-position model. The record is from RNAcentral.